UAUGUCUGGGAACUGCCUGAUGGAGGGGGAUAACUACUGGAAACGGUAGCUAAUACCGCAUAACGUCGCAAGACCAAAGAGGGGGACCUUCGGGCCUCUUGCCAUCGGAUGUGCCCAGAUGGGAUUAGCUAGUAGGUGGGGUAACGGCUCACCUAGGCGACGAUCCCUAGCUGGUCUGAGAGGAUGACCAGCCACACUGGAACUGAGACACGGUCCAGACUCCUACGGGAGGCAGCAGUGGGGAAUAUUGCACAAUGGGCGCAAGCCUGAUGCAGCCAUGCCGCGUGUAUGAAGAAGGCCUUCGGGUUGUAAAGUACUUUCAGCGGGGAGGAAGGGAGUAAAGUUAAUACCUUUGCUCAUUGACGUUACCCGCAGAAGAAGCACCGGCUAACUCCGUGCCAGCAGCCGCGGUAAUACGGAGGGUGCAAGCGUUAAUCGGAAUUACUGGGCGUAAAGCGCACGCAGGCGGUUUGUUAAGUCAGAUGUGAAAUCCC
This 494-nucleotide ribosomal RNA is filed under the name Escherichia coli. RNAcentral's name for it is "bacterial SSU rRNA". It matches the Rfam family "Bacterial small subunit ribosomal RNA", at positions 112 to 603 of the family's 1533-position model. The record is from RNAcentral. Lineage: Bacteria; Pseudomonadati; Pseudomonadota; Gammaproteobacteria; Enterobacterales; Enterobacteriaceae.